CUGAGGCUACUAAUUAUUUGAAGAAUAUGUACCUGGGGCUGAAUCAGCAUGUGUUAAUAUGAUUCAUCAGACACAAUUAUUGAAACCAAGACUGAAAAAGAUGAUCAAGUCAGUUCGUCAUGGGAGUCAAGGUCGUUUUACAAUACACUACAGUAAAUGGAGUUUUGGUAAAACAUUCAUCAUCACCAAGACCUUGCCAAUAUAUGUAAAAUGAAAAAGAACGAGCAAUAAGUAUUACUGAAUUAAUUGGAGCAGAUGAUAAAUAUGAGAGUGCUUGUACACCACGACAAAAGCUGUGUGCUGUUAAUAUGACAACAUAGCUGAGAAAAUAAUGGUGAUGCUGAGAAUGCAAUAAGAUAGAGAUGGUGUGUAAAUAUUCGUGGUGCCGCUGAUGUAAUCAUUACAGACUACCUGGGG
Molecule: long non-coding RNA, 417 nt
Organism: Aphidius gifuensis
Lineage: Eukaryota; Metazoa; Arthropoda; Insecta; Hymenoptera; Braconidae
Exons: 3
Source: RefSeq, a predicted model, not a curated record